Molecule: transfer RNA, 87 nt
Filed under: Candidatus Galligastranaerophilus gallistercoris
Lineage: Bacteria; Bacillati; Candidatus Melainabacteria; Candidatus Gastranaerophilales; Candidatus Gastranaerophilaceae
Description: tRNA-Ser
Rfam family: tRNA
About the family: Transfer RNA (tRNA) molecules are approximately 80 nucleotides in length. Their secondary structure includes four short double-helical elements and three loops (D, anti-codon, and T loops). Further hydrogen bonds mediate the characteristic L-shaped molecular structure. tRNAs have two regions of fundamental functional importance: the anti-codon, which is responsible for specific mRNA codon recognition, and the 3' end, to which the tRNAs corresponding amino acid is attached (by aminoacyl-tRNA synthetases). tRNAs cope with the degeneracy of the genetic code in two manners: having more than one tRNA (with a specific anti-codon) for a particular amino acid; and 'wobble' base-pairing, i.e. permitting non-standard base-pairing at the 3rd anti-codon position.
Source: RNAcentral
GGAGAGAUGUCCGAGCGGUUUAUGGUGCAGACCUCGAAAGUCUGUGUGGGGGCAACUCCACCGUGGGUUCGAAUCCCACUCUCUCCG